RNAcentral lists this small RNA (125 nucleotides) under Marmota monax (woodchuck). The record is from RNAcentral. Lineage: Eukaryota; Metazoa; Chordata; Mammalia; Rodentia; Sciuridae.
GCUGAGUGCGGUGGCGCCCGCCUGUAAUCCCAACAGCUCAGGAGGCUGAGGCAGGAGGAUCCUGAGUUCAAAGCCAGCCUCAGCAAUGGCAAGGCACUAAGCAACUCAGUGAGACCCUGUCUCUA